Chroicocephalus ridibundus (black-headed gull) is the source of this 1563-nucleotide long non-coding RNA. RefSeq lists it as uncharacterized. The record is from RefSeq and is a predicted model, not a curated record. The transcript has 3 exons. NCBI's taxonomy places the organism in Eukaryota, Metazoa, Chordata, Aves, Charadriiformes, Laridae.
AGUGGGGAGAGUAGGGCGGCGGCGCGCGCAGGUGUGCAUGUGGGGGGGAGCGCGCAUGCGUGGCCGCGCGCGCCGGGGCCGUUGCCUGGUGCACGUGGCCGCGCGCGCCCGCAGGGCGGGCGCCGCGCUCGAGGCUCGCGCGUCCCCUCAGGGCCGCCCCCACCCCGUGAGGAGCCGCGAUCGGUGACAGGCUGUCACUUCCCACCAGCUAUGUCCUUGCUUCCAUUGCCACCCACAACUGCUGCCGCAUGUCCACAAUCUAUUGUGCUUCCCUCUGCAAACAGCAGGAGAGAAGAGCUGCCAUCCAUUAGUCCUCUGCUUUCACGUACAGCAAUGAGCUUUCUCAACUGCUGGGCAUAAAAGAUUAGCCUUUGAAGAUCCACAAUUUGAAAUAUGGGACAUAUGUGUGAAAGCCAGUUCGAAGCAGGAACAUGAUGAUCCAAACAGCAUCUGCCUGCUCCCUACUAGAAUCCCUUGUUUAGUCCACAAAUUACUAGGUAUUCCCAAAGUACAUGAUUAAGGUGUUCCGCUGAUGUAUCUAAAGUCAAGUCAUUGUAAAUUUUAACAACUGUACUGUUAAAAACAUUUCCACGAUCUGUUUAUCCUACCCUAAAACUAGCUAAUAUACAAAAAAGAGAGUAUAUAUUAAUUAGAUAUAUUAAUAUUAAACUCCCCACUUUUUAAAUAUAUUUAAUUUUGAGACACAAAAUACAAAUCUAUGUUUUCAUGUGAAAAGAGAAAGCAAAUCGUUAAUUUUUUUUUGGAGGAAGUAGUGUUCUUUCACAUAGUUACUUUCCUUUCUUUGUUUGCUUUCUUCGAUUUAGUGCUGUUGAUGUGCUGUUCCCAGCUUCCUAAUAAACCUUUUGUCUUAACUCUUCCUCAGUUCUCUUCCUGUUAGAAAAGUUACAUUAACACAAUACUUCCCCAAUUAUACAUCCUUUCACUCCAACGGACCAGGUACAAUUGUUUUAGCAGCCUUUAUUUUCUGCUUUUCGAAAGAGAGCCUCUCUUAUACAGUUCGACAGUGGUCUAACUUCUGGAUACGUUUCAUAAAAGGUCACAAAACAAUAGGUGCUUAUGUGCUUCUGCGGCUUAGCUCAAAGAAUUUGACAACAAUUCACAGGAUGAUGCUCUCUCUGCACUCCUUGCUUUAUAGAGAAAUGAAGAGGUAAAACUAAGCCCCUGAGUUAGAGUAGCUUUGAGCCCUAGGAAGGGUGAGAGGAGAGCACCCAGUAGCAUUUGCAGCUGAAUUGAUUUACUGUUUGUUCUUGCUGCACUGUUAACGUGUACGCUCAGGAGGAACAUGACUCAAAUAUUUGUGAAGAAGCAAGUAGCGGCAGCACAACUCUCAACUCCGUUUGAAACUCUUCCUCUGUGCAGCUACCCCAAAUCCUGUGUAGUUUCAUUACAAAGAGAAAAAAAAAGGCAUCUAGGUGGUAUAAAGCCUUGUCGGUACGUGAGUUACCUGCUGUUACACAAGAUUUUCAGAAAUGACAUCUGAUGCUCAGACCUAAUAAGCAACUGUUUACUAUCCCUGAUACUAUAACAAAAAAUAAUAAAUAC